AAGAACUAGAAGAACUGGUUUGUCUCCACUGGUGAGGUGGAGCAGAAGGGUGUGAGAGUGAGAAGAGCUGGUGGUGCUUGACUCUUCUUCUCAGGCAGUUGGAUGCCUCUGAGUUACUUGCCUAUGAAAUUCUGUGGGAGAGAUCUGACCAAGACGGCACAAAAGGAAGAGGUGUUGGGGAUGUGAAGGUAUACUACAUCAUGAACACAACUGUGAAGUCUAAAACCUGAAAUAGGCUGAAAGAUAUAUGCAACUCAUCAUAUGUAAGUUUUAUAUUUAUGUGUAAUUUGAGACUCAUGGUAAACUAAUAUUGCUAUAGCAUGAUCAUUUUAAAUUUUGUUUUACCUUAAAUAAAAUAUUUCCCCCAAUUAUAUCAUCUUUGCAAUUGAUAAAGAUGUAUUUUUUAAUAAUCCAUUGGGGGUCAAAGCUAUGAUAGAAAGUUGAACAUAAUUUCUAUUUGUAGUUGCAAAAGUGCACACCAAAAGGCAUUCAAAAAUAAUUUGCAAUUGCUUUUUCAGCCGACAGUCUUUAAGGCAAGUUGUUUUC
This 546-nucleotide long non-coding RNA is filed under the name Sus scrofa (pig). RNAcentral describes it as "lncRNA (ENSSSCG00060047740.1)". The record is from RNAcentral. Lineage: Eukaryota; Metazoa; Chordata; Mammalia; Artiodactyla; Suidae.